AGGAUAAACGCUGGCGGCGUGCCUUACGCAUGCAAGUCGAACGGUGUCCUUCGGGGCACAGUGGCGGACGGGUGAGUAACACGUACGUAACCUGCCGAUUUGUGGGGAUACCGGUCCGAAAGGGUCGCUAAUACCGCAUACGUUCGCCCCGCGAGGGGUGAGGAAAGGGCUUCGGCCCGCAGAUUGAGGGGCGUGCGGCCGAUUAGCUUGUUGGUGGGGUAACGGCCUACCAAGGCGAUGAUCGGUAGCUGGGCUGAGAGGCCGAGCAGCCACACUGGGACUGAGACACGGCCCAGACUCCUACGGGAGGCAGCAGCGAGGAAUUUGCGCAAUGGGCGAAAGCCUGACGCAGCAACGCCGCGUGGGUGAGGAAGGCCUUCGGGUCGUAAAGCCCCUUUUGUCGGGGGACGAAUACUGACGGUACCCGACGAAGAAGCCACGGCUAACUACGCGCCAGCAGCCGC
RNAcentral lists this ribosomal RNA (464 nucleotides) under uncultured bacterium. RNAcentral's name for it is "SSU rRNA". It matches the Rfam family "Bacterial small subunit ribosomal RNA", at positions 26 to 518 of the family's 1533-position model. The record is from RNAcentral.